CAGAUAUUUAGACACUCAUCUGUUUACAAGAAAGAAGUAUGGCGAUGAACUGGAAAAAAAAGCAGAGGAACAUUCACCAGGAUCCAUUGGCCUCCUACCAGCAGCUGCUAAAGUAAAGGGAAAUAGGAACAGUAGUGAAGAAAAGAUAAAUGGAGGUGAAAAUUCCAAUUGCCUUGAAGGCCAGAAUAAUACAGGGUCAGUCAGUCACCUCCCAGCAAUAAACAAGAGCAAAUCCUUAAACAGACUUGAACACUCAUCUCUCUGUACAGUCCUGUAACGUUUUGGAGUCUCUCUCGGGUUAAAAGUCGUGAUUUUCAUUUCAUGUCACUCUAAACUUAAAUAGAUUCAAUUGUGUGAAAUAGAAACUAGUGGCAUGUAUAUCUAAGAGUUAGAGUUAAGGUUAGGCUUACAGCUAGAAUUAGAAUUAGAAGCAACAGUGCUGAG
Hemiscyllium ocellatum (epaulette shark) is the source of this 444-nucleotide long non-coding RNA. RefSeq lists it as uncharacterized. The record is from RefSeq and is a predicted model, not a curated record. The transcript has 3 exons. Lineage: Eukaryota; Metazoa; Chordata; Chondrichthyes; Orectolobiformes; Hemiscylliidae.